CGCGACGUCCCGAUAGGCACUCAUUACCCCGAAUACCGAUCGAAACCCCGCAAGGCUUAGCAUCAGCUUCUGCAUCUCUCUAGUGAGCGACAGUUAUUAAAUCUCACAUUUCAAAAAAAAUCAUAAGUCAUUUCCAAAUCAAAACAAUAAAAUAUUACUUUCUGGCUCACAGGGGUAUUUUCGUCAUUUUUCUUCGAAAAUAUCGAAACUCGCCAAAAACAUGGUGUAAAAGCUAAAUAUAUUCAUACAUAUUUUAAAUUAAAUAACUGAAGAAUAAAAUUUCUUUUACAGUGACACGUGGGCCCCCAACUGACUAAGAAAAUGUAGGGUUACGAACCCUUACUUUCUAAGAUGCAACUCCGAGAUUAAUUCUCGUCUUAAUCAUCUAUCAACAAAUUGUCUUGAGCCUAAAAAAUGGAUAGGAAGAAGGGGUGAGAUUAUAAAAUCCCAGUGAGUAGACAGACAUCAUCAAAAUAAUCUAAAGCCGAGUAAUAGGAGACAAUUAAAAUAAUUCAUCUUAACCCAUAUAAAUAAUUGGAUUUCAUCCAAUUACUCAACAUGGCUUAUGCACUUUUCAAAAACUUGGCCCUUGCCAAAAAUCCAUUCUCGGGGAUACCCCGUGAAGGCAUCUUACCGAGACCGCCAAGGCUAUUUAUUGUCACACACACAAACACAUUUCACCUCUGACAACACAGCCGUCCUUCGGUGUUGACUGAGUCCCAGUUUCACGUGGUGGCUAGCGUGAAAUGUACUCAAAUCCUACCUCGGGAGUUAUCCUACGCGCCUCUCCAAUCAAGGUAAGCUCAAUAAUUGAGAACCGUGCCCCUCUAAUUAGGUUGGCCCACGGAACCCCCGUCACUGUAGUACCCACUUUAUAAUCCACCAACCAAUAAAAUCAUAAUAGUAUGACAUGGCUCACUUAACACAUUCAAGGCAAAUCAAAGCAGUUCACAUAUUCUUUAAAUCAUAAAAAUAACCAGUCAUACCCACAUUUAUCAUAAGCCAUUUAAUGUAAAAUCAUAGAUAAACAACACAAUCAUAGUAUAGGUCUCCAAUUACUCUAUUUUUGAAAUCAUUAUUAAAUUUUCAAAAAUUUUAUAAAAUUAUUUUAUAAAAUCUCAUUUUCCCAUAAAACACAAUAAUUUUCCAAUUAAACCAUUUUUCCAUAAAAUCACACAAUUAAAUAAAUCUACUCUAGAUAAUUAAGACGAUAGUAAGUUUACUCACAGUUCUAGGAGUCGAUAUACUCCUAUUUUCAGUCCGCGGGUACAGUCCUUUACCCGUAUCUAAUGGCUCACCACCUAGCCAUAAUCCAUGGCACAUAUUUCAAUUAAAUUGUGUCUAACAGUCAUAAGCUAUUUCAGGCUCGAUAUAUAUGCAUGAUAUGAAAUGAAAAAUGCACAGGUAGCCAUCUAGACCCGGUAUUGACCUAAGUCGAUUUUUCAUCCAAUAAAUUGGCCAAUGCGUCCAAUUUCACUCCAACUUGCUCCAUUUCUUUUCCAAUCCCUCAAUUCACCAAGCACAACUAAUUAACACACAAUUAGGCA
RNAcentral lists this long non-coding RNA (1547 nucleotides) under Theobroma cacao (cacao). Its description in RNAcentral is "long non-coding RNA (TCAC_LNC002004)". The record is from RNAcentral. Lineage: Eukaryota; Viridiplantae; Streptophyta; Magnoliopsida; Malvales; Malvaceae.